AGCGCUCUCUAGCUCUAUUGGAGUUUUAAAUCUGAUUCAAACGUCUAUAACACAUAGCGCGGUCAUUAGUAUUAGUUUUUACAUUUGUGUUUUAUUUGAUGUUUAUGGGUUUUAUUAAACUGAACCAUAUUCGAGAUUAAUGUUCUUCAUCGUUAACACGUAGAGAUUUUUUUUUACAUGAAAAAGUGCUAUAAAAUGACUAGUAUUAUUUCCCGUUUAGUUUGUUAAAAGUCACUAUGAGAGUUUGUUCCCCCAACAUUCACGACACUUUAAAAGUAACCCUUUUUGCUUUUCUGUAUAUGUUCAUAUUAUCGCAGAGCUUCCUCACAUCCAAACCAGCAGCUUCAUGAUGCUUUAACACAAUUAUUUUUAGUAAUGGAAAUCUGCGUAACAGUCUGAGAUUAAGCAAUGAGCUGGACCACUAACGCCAGCAUCAUGGCUACAGGAAAGCACCGUCCCAUUAUGUUGAACUACAGUCAUAAAACUUGCCCAGCUCGUUUUUCUGACAUUUCCAGGUCACUUGUGGGUGGCUGUACGUGAUUGUAUGGAGGCUGGGAAUGGGAAGAGUGACUCAGGCAUGUGGCAUUAAGAUUGAAUUCCAGAUUGGCAGAACCUGUGUUUGAAUUUUUUCUUGUUCACAAAGGAAACAUUACGCCUAAGCAAGCCUGUACAUGCGGCAGUGUGUUACCUGACACGCAUCACGCCGUAGAACAAAGUAGGAAACGAUGAGGUGACGCUUUCGGCCUCACUGCAACCACUCAUGUCCUAGAAAGUGACGAUAUUUUAAAUAUAUGCCUUCAUUUUAGUCGAUCUAAUGUUAUGAGAUUAUUAUAUAACAACUUUAAGACAAUACGGGCAUUUAAAAAAAAAAUUAAUUACAGAUCAUUUUGAUUAAUGCGUUCUCGCAGUACACUGGCGUUCCAUUCUGCCGGCGGAAUAGAAACAGACUUAUCGGACAUUUAUGAGCGGUAUAAACUAGAGAUCCACUGAUACUAAAUAUCAGAUACCGGUAACCGAUUAUUCAGAGUGCUGUCGACCGAUGCCGAUAACCGAUACCGAUAGUUCUGCCUUUUAUACCUUCUUUUAAAUGGAUAAUAAUUAAUUCCACAAUUCUGAAAGAAACACAAAUAAAAACUUUAUUCUCUCCAUUUCAACAAUCUCACAUUCACUCUCCACGAACACAAGCAUUUCUACUUCAUCAUUAAAUAAUGAUAUAUAUAUAAUAUGUAAUAUAUAAUAUCAACUUUUUCAUAUAUUAACAUUAACUGGAUAUGAAAUACACUACUCUACAAAUAUAAUUUUCUGUGCGAUAUCUACUUUUUUGCCAACUCAUCUUCAUUUAAAUCUUUCAACGGUGUACUGGCCCUUUAAUUCAGCACGAGCAGCGCAGCAAAAAAAAAAAAAAUCGACUCGAAGCCGAAACUCCCGCUUCACUGCUGCUCACUUCCGGUGUGAAAUCUUAUCAGUGCAGAGAUUACAGAGAUUACAAACUGCAGUUUUGUCGUCAUUCCACACAUUCCGAGACAUCGUCUUUACACACAGCACGAAAUCCACGUGUUUCCCCGCCUUCUUUUGAUUGACAGGAUAUAAUCGGCCCUGAUCGUCGGCUGUUUUUAAAAUAUCAUAGCCCAUAGCGUGAAAAAUCGCCUUUAAUAAUAAUCGGUACAUCGAUACAUCUCUCUUUAGUAUAAACAAAUGAAUUAUUUUAUCGUCUGUUAUAAGAUGAGUCAGGACACUGUUGGGUUUCUGUGUGUAGAGUAUCCUGACUCUGUGUUUAGCUGCUGGUGAGCGCGGUGAUUUGAAAGGCCACAAUAACACAAAAACCGCACAGCACAACUAAAGCUUUAUUUGAUAGAAAAACACUGUAUACAACUGCCACAAUAAAACGAUUUAAACAUUUAAACCUAAUAGGUUAGGUAAAAAAAAAAAAUUCUUAAAGCCCUCGGUGUCUACUUUCAGAUCUAAGGGACAAUCCAUGACUGUGCAUUACACGAUUUUAAUGCACGACGCGGAGGAAUCUGCAGAGUGCAUUAAAAUCGCAGUUUACCAUGGGCCUUCAUGCUCUAAAUCAUACCCAGAGAUAAAGCAGUGCGAUAAGAUUACAUUUAUUUGAAUGAUUAAUAAUAAAUAGUUAUUAGAGAGAGAAAGAGAGAGAGAUUUCAAGCUUCAGAUUGGCUUAAUAAUCUUGAUUUUGUUUUUAUAAUAAUCUUGUAAUGAUAAACAUUAGAUAACGUCACCUAGUUUCACUUGCUAAGAUAUCAUU
Ictalurus punctatus (channel catfish) is the source of this 2263-nucleotide long non-coding RNA. The record is from Ensembl. Lineage: Eukaryota; Metazoa; Chordata; Actinopteri; Siluriformes; Ictaluridae.